CAGUCGAACGAAGCACCUUGAUUUGAUUCUUCGGAUGAAGAUCCUGGUGACUGAGUGGCGGACGGGUGAGUAACGCGUGGGUAACCUGCCUCAUACAGGGGGGUAACAGUUAGAAAUGACUGCUAAUACCGCAUAAGACCACAGCACCGCAUGGUGCAGGGGUAAAAACUCCGGUGGUAUGAGAUGGACCCGCGUCUGAUUAGGUAGUUGGUGGGGUAACGGCCUACCAAGCCGACGAUCAGUAGCCGACCUGAGGGGGUGACCGGCCACAUUGGGACUGAGACACGGCCCAAACUCCUACGGGAGGCAGCAGUGGGGAAUAUUGCACAAUGGGGGAAACCCUGAUGCAGCGACGCCGCGUGAGCGAUGAAGUAUUUCGGUAUGUAAAGCUCUAUCAGCAGGGAAGAAAAUGACGGUACCUGACUAAGAAGCACCGGCUAAAUACGUGCCAGCAGCCGCGGUAAUACGUAUGGUGCAAGCGUUAUCCGGAUUUACUGGGUGUAAAGGGAGCGUAGACGGAGUGGCAAGUCUGAUGUGAAAACCCGGGGCUCAACCCCGGGACUGCAUUGGAAACUGUCAAUCUGGAGUACCGGAGAGGUAAGCGGAAUUCCUAGUGUAGCGGUGAAAUGCGUAGAUAUUAGGAGGAACACCAGUGGCGAAGGCGGCUUACUGGACGGUAACUGACGUUGAGGCUCGAAAGCGUGGGGAGCAAACAGGAUUAGAUACCCUGGUAGUCCACGCCG
RNAcentral lists this ribosomal RNA (743 nucleotides) under uncultured bacterium. RNAcentral's name for it is "bacterial SSU rRNA". It matches the Rfam family "Bacterial small subunit ribosomal RNA", at positions 59 to 802 of the family's 1533-position model. The record is from RNAcentral.